This 480-nucleotide ribosomal RNA is filed under the name uncultured bacterium. Its description in RNAcentral is "bacterial SSU rRNA". It matches the Rfam family "Bacterial small subunit ribosomal RNA", at positions 30 to 506 of the family's 1533-position model. The record is from RNAcentral.
UUGAACGCUGGCGGAAUGCUUUACACAUGCAAGUCGAACGGCAGCACGGGGCAACCUGGUGGCGAGUGGCUAACGGGUGAGUAAUACGUCGGAACGUGCCCAGUCGUGGGGGAUAACGUAGCGAAAGUUACGCUAAUACCGCAUACGAUCUAAGGAUGAAAGCGGGGGAUCGCAAGACCUCGCGCGAUUGGAGCGGCCGAUGUCAGAUUAGGUAGUUGGUGGGGUAAAGGCUCACCAAGCCGACGAUCUGUAGCUGGUCUGAGAGGACGACCAGCCACACUGGAACUGAGACACGGUCCAGACUCCUACGGGAGGCAGCAGUGGGGAAUUUUGGACAAUGGGCGAAAGCCUGAUCCAGCCAUUCCGCGUGCAGGAUGAAGGCCUUCGGGUUGUAAACUGCUUUUGUACGGAACGAAACGGUCCUUUCUAAUACAAGGGGCUAAUGACGGUACCGUAAGAAUAGGCACCGGCUAACUACGU